RNAcentral lists this non-coding RNA (26 nucleotides) under Homo sapiens (human). Lineage: Eukaryota; Metazoa; Chordata; Mammalia; Primates; Hominidae. The record is from RNAcentral.
UUCUCAUGAUUGUGAAGGUGUAAUUC